CUAUCUCUUUCUCUCUCUCUAUAUAUAAUUAUAUGUGCAUUUGCAUGUAUUAAUAUAUAUCAUAUCAUGAAUUCUUUGAUUAUUAGGGUUUGGGUGUUCUUGUUAGGUAAUUCUUUGUCUUCGUCUGUUUUUCUUUUUUAAUCUCAAUUGGGUUUUCUUUUUGUGCUUUCGUUUAUGAGUUGUUUAAGUUUCCAUCAGGUUUUAAAGGAAAGCAGAAAUCAAUUUGGUGUAGUUUUAAUUCACGGCUUGUGCUGAGGUAAUUGUUUCUCUACUGACUUUGUAUCAUUUAGGGGUAUUUCCUUCUAUUUUGACCCCAUUUUUUUUCGUUAUGGGUUGAUUUGUGUGCUGAGUGAUUAUUAGAACAUGUGAUAGUCAAAGGAAGAAAGUUUGUUUCUGGAAAUUCAAGUAAGAAAAAUUUGGAGAAAAAUGAUUUUGUCGUGUUGGGUUCUAGAGAAAAGGGAGAAAAAUUAUGUGCAAUGUGUGAGUAAUAAAGGAAAUCAUAAAAGAAUAAGGAAAAAUAGGUAGAAAUCGAGUUUAGACCUGUAACAUCCUGUUGAUUAUGGAUUUAAUUCUACAUGAUGUCCAUAAGUGUAGUUGGUUUGUGUAGUGUUAAGUAGACAAACUAAAGAAAGUUGAUAUAUGUUUUGCUAAUGAUCUGUGGAUAGAAUUUUAGUAUGGUUAGGUGGUGGACAAUUCAAGGAUGAAGGCAGGAGUACGUUUGUUGAUGCACUGCAGAUAAGUUGCAGAUAAGUUGGUGUGUGGUGAUGUCUUAGUUGUUAGUCCCCGGAUGGACCUCAAGCUACAUUCUUUGAUCUUUGCUAAGAAGGGUUGUGAGCGCACCUGCUCAUGGUAUUGAGAAGAAGUUUGCUUUUGGCUUUAGCUCUUAGCAAAAUGUAAAAUAAAUGAUCAGUAAGGAACCAAGGACUAUAUCCAUUUACCCGAAUAAUGAAAAACAUCAAAUUCAUAAUCAAGUUUCUAAUUGGAUUCAGUGAAUUUGAGUUUUAAAUUUUUUUUGGGUGAAUACAGUGAAUUUGAGUUGAAAGUGAAGGAUUCUCCAUUGUCCUCCUUGUCACACUAGGAGUACAAGUGGUAGUUGAACAUGAUACCAUCUAUCCGAGGGUACCAAUUGAAGGUAAAAAUAUGGUUCAUGAAGUUGAUGUAAUCUACCUUCUCAACCAAAUCAAUGUAAAAUACAGACAAAACAGAUAAAGGUGGAUGUUCCUUUUGAGUUCUGCAUACUCAAUCUGGGGUUCCAUUUUUUCCUUAAAUUGUGCUUAUUUUAAAGUCUGUUUGUUGUUAUGCAUACCUAUUUUGAUGUACCAAUAGAAACUCAAGUAUAAUUUGUCCCUUGACAUCACAAUUAUUGUUUCGUGGUUCUAUGAGUCAAAGUAUUAUUGACAUGAAAUCUCAAAGAUAGAUUUCAGAAAUGUGUAAACCAAUAAGUACAUAUUUUUGCAGGGCCAUGGUGUAAGAAAGCACUAGAAACUUAACAUAGGGCAGCUUAUAAUUGUUAUUCUUCCAUGUAUAUCUAUGUACUGAUCAUGUACCCACCUGCUCAGUUACGAUUUCGAAGGAAUUGAAGACUCGACCAUGUCGAUGACAAGAUUGACAACAACUCUUUAGCAAUCGAGGUAGGAAAGCUCAAAGAAAACGUGAGGCUUGUUGUUCGAGAUGAUUCGGUUUCCUGUGUCGCGAAUUGAGAAUAGGAACAACAAGAAGCUUCUGCAACGCGUCAGAGCAUUUGAUCAGCAUUGCAACAUGGUGCGGGAAAAUGUUCGAGAGAUGUGGACAGAGAUUAGUUCUAUGCAUUACAUCAGAACUCCUCCUCUACUUUGUCAAUACUUUUAUAUUACCGAAUACUAUUGAAGGUCCACUUGUAAACUCUAUGCUUUUUGCUCAUGUACCAAAGACUGGGAAAGGUAAGAAGAAACCUCAGCCAGUUAACAAAGAUUGGUUCAUUAGCAAGUUGUUCCUUUGAGGCGAUUUUGUGAUCGUUGUUCUUAGAAACCCUAAGUGAGAUGUAUGCAUGAGUCGUCGGACUGGAUUUUGGAGGAAGCUUAGUAGAGAGGAUUUUAGUUACUUUGGAGCUUCAGUUUUCUGGCUCGUGUGGAACUGAUUGUACUUAAAGUCACGGUUGAUGUAGGAUUUUGUGGAACUUAUUGCAAUUUUUUGCUACUUAUUGCAAUUUUUUGCUUCUCCUU
Rhododendron vialii is the source of this 2201-nucleotide long non-coding RNA. RefSeq lists it as uncharacterized. NCBI's taxonomy places the organism in Eukaryota, Viridiplantae, Streptophyta, Magnoliopsida, Ericales, Ericaceae. The record is from RefSeq and is a predicted model, not a curated record. The transcript has 3 exons.